AUUACUUCCCUGCCCUUUGUACACACCGCCCGUCGCUACUACCGAUUGAAUGGCUUAGUGAGACUUUCGGAUGUGUUUGGAGCCGCUGGCAACAGUGACACCUUGCGCAGAAGUUAUUCAAACUUGGUCAUUUAGAGGAAGUAAAAGUCGUAACAAGGUUUCCGUAGGUGAACCUGCGGAAGGAUCAUUA
RNAcentral lists this ribosomal RNA (190 nucleotides) under uncultured Paraglomus. RNAcentral describes it as "partial 18S ribosomal RNA". It matches the Rfam family "Eukaryotic small subunit ribosomal RNA", at positions 1644 to 1831 of the family's 1831-position model. Lineage: Eukaryota; Fungi; Glomeromycota; Glomeromycetes; Paraglomerales; Paraglomeraceae. The record is from RNAcentral.